RNAcentral lists this ribosomal RNA (409 nucleotides) under Fusobacteriota bacterium. RNAcentral describes it as "Fusobacteria bacterium partial 16S ribosomal RNA". It matches the Rfam family "Bacterial small subunit ribosomal RNA", at positions 355 to 776 of the family's 1533-position model. The record is from RNAcentral. Lineage: Bacteria; Fusobacteriati; Fusobacteriota.
UGGGGAAUAUUGCACAAUGGAGGGAACUCUGAUGCAGCAACGCCGCGUGCGGGAUGACGGCCUUCGGGUUGUAAACCGCUUUCAGCCAUGACGAAGCUUUUGUGACGGUAGUGGUAGAAUAAGCACCGGCUAACUACGUGCCAGCAGCCGCGGUGAUACGUAGGGUGCGAGCGUUGUCCGGAAUUAUUGGGCGUAAAGAGCUUGUAGGCGGUUUGUCGCGUCGAUAGUGUAAACACGCAGCUUAACUGUGUGCCUGCUGUCGAUACGGGCUGACUAGAGGAGGGUAGGGGAGGAUGGAAUUCCCGGUGGAGCGGUGGAAUGCGCAGAUAUCGGGAGGAACACCAGUGGCGAAGGCGGUUCUCUGGACCUUUCCUGACGCUGAGAAGCGAAAGCGUGGGUAGCAAACAGG